Molecule: ribosomal RNA, 318 nt
Organism: Gossypium arboreum
Lineage: Eukaryota; Viridiplantae; Streptophyta; Magnoliopsida; Malvales; Malvaceae
Rfam family: Bacterial large subunit ribosomal RNA
Source: Rfam
CGAAAACUCAAGGGUUCCUUCGCAAGGUUUGUCUACGAAGGGUGAGUCAUGGCCAAAGAUCAGGCCAAAAAGUGAAGUCGAUGGACAACAGGAGAAUAUUCUUGUACUACCCCUUGUUGGUUCCGAGGGAUGGAGGAGACCAGGUACUGAAAGAUGGUUAUCAAUUCAAGGACGCAAGGUGUAUGAAAAUCUCUAAUUCCUCAAAAGUAGCUUUUGGUUAUGUCUUCAAUAAGGAAUAAGAUGGCAAAAAUCUUCUUGAUAUAAAGUCCCUAGGAAAACUAACCUCCUCAUUUAUGGAAACUUGGGUUACAUUGAAAG